CAGACCUGCUGGGGGCAGAUGUAAUGGACGUGGGUGUCCAUGCCCGCGGCGGUGAGGAUCAGAUGCUCGCCCGAGAUGGCGUCGGUCGCCGUGCCGGUGGCCAGACCCGGCGUCACGCCGUCCAUGGUGCUCGGGUUGCCGGCCUUGCCGACGCCCACGAUCUUGCCAUCGCGGAUGCCGACGUCGGCCUUGAUGACGCCGAGAUAGGGGUCGAGCACCGUCACGUUGGUGAUGACCAUAUCCAGGCAGCCGGCCGCCUGGGUGAGCUGGUUGUCCGACCCCAUGCCG
This 288-nucleotide small RNA is filed under the name Paludisphaera borealis. Its description in RNAcentral is "5' ureB small RNA". It matches the Rfam family "5' ureB small RNA". The record is from Rfam by way of RNAcentral. Lineage: Bacteria; Pseudomonadati; Planctomycetota; Planctomycetia; Isosphaerales; Isosphaeraceae.